CAAGCAGUGGGAGCACGCUUAGGCGUGUGACUGCGUACCUUUUGUAUAAUGGGUCAGCGACUUAUAUUCUGUAGCAAGGUUAACCGAAUAGGGGAGCCGAAGGGAAACCGAGUCUUAACUGGGCGUUAAGUUGCAGGGUAUAGACCCGAAACCCGGUGAUCUAGCCAUGGGCAGGUUGAAGGUUGGGUAACACUAACUGGAGGACCGAACCGACUAAUGUUGAAAAAUUAGCGGAUGACUUGUGGCUGGGGGUGAAAGGCCAAUCAAACCGGGAGAUAGCUGGUUCUCCCCGAAAGCUAUUUAGGUAGCGCCUCGUGAAUUCAUCUCCGGGGGUAGAGCACUGUUUCGGCAAGGGGGUCAUCCCGACUUACCAACCCGAUGCAAACUGCGAAUACCGGAGAAUGUUAUCACGGGAGACACACGGCGGGUGCUAACGUCCGUCGUGAAGAGGGAAACAACCCAGACCGCCAGCUAAGGUCCCAAAGUCAUGGUUAAGUGGGAAACGAUGUGGGAAGGCCCAGACAGCCAGGAUGUUGGCUUAGAAGCAGCCAUCAUUUAAAGAAAGCGUAAUAGCUCACUGGUCGAGUCGGCCUGCGCGGAAGAUGUAACGGGGCUAAACCAUGCACCGAAGCUGCGGCAGCGACGCU
This 647-nucleotide ribosomal RNA is filed under the name Escherichia coli. RNAcentral's name for it is "partial 23S ribosomal RNA". It matches the Rfam family "Bacterial large subunit ribosomal RNA", at positions 567 to 1215 of the family's 2925-position model. Lineage: Bacteria; Pseudomonadati; Pseudomonadota; Gammaproteobacteria; Enterobacterales; Enterobacteriaceae. The record is from RNAcentral.